RNAcentral lists this microRNA precursor (59 nucleotides) under Monodelphis domestica (gray short-tailed opossum). RNAcentral's name for it is "mir-7386 microRNA precursor family". It matches the Rfam family "mir-7386 microRNA precursor family". Lineage: Eukaryota; Metazoa; Chordata; Mammalia; Didelphimorphia; Didelphidae. The record is from Rfam by way of RNAcentral.
UGUUAGAUAAGGUAAUCUAUUUUGUGGAUUCUUCUAAAAUAAGGACCUCAUCCAUAGAG